AUUGAACGCUGGCGGAAUGCUUUACACAUGCAAGUCGAACGGCAGCACGGGAGCUUGCUCCUGGUGGCGAGUGGCGAACGGGUGAGUAACAUAUCGGAACGUACCCAGUCGUGGGGGAUAACUAUCCGAAAGGAUAGCUAAUACCGCAGACGUCUUGAGUGAGAAAGCGGGGGAUCGCAAGACCUCGCGCGAUUGGAGCGGCCGAUAUCGGAUUAGCUAGUUGGUGGGGUAAAGGCUCACCAAGGCAACGAUCCGUAGCGGGUCUGAGAGGACGACCCGCCACACUGGAACUGAGACACGGUCCAGACUCCUACGGGAGGCAGCAGUAGGGAAUUUUGGACAAUGGGGGCAAGCCUGAUCCAGCCAUGCCGCGUGAGUGAAGAAGGCCUUCGGGUUGUAAAGCUCUUUCAGCAGGAACGAAAAGGUCUGCUUUAAUAAAAUCGGCUAAUGACGGUACCUGCAGAAGAAGCACCGGCUAACUACGUG
RNAcentral lists this ribosomal RNA (486 nucleotides) under uncultured bacterium. Its description in RNAcentral is "partial 16S ribosomal RNA". It matches the Rfam family "Bacterial small subunit ribosomal RNA", at positions 30 to 507 of the family's 1533-position model. The record is from RNAcentral.